GCGGCAUGCCUAACACAUGCAAGUCGAACGCGAAAGUACCUUCGGGUGCGAGUAGAGUGGCGGACGGGUGAGUAACGCGUGAGUAACCUACCCUAUACACAAGGAUAGCCAUUGGAAACGAUGAUUAAUACUUGAUAAGACUACAGAGCCGCAUGGUUCAGUGGUAAAAGCUCCGGCGGUAUAGGAUGGACUCGCGUCUGAUUAGCUAGUUGGUAAGGUAAUGGCUUACCAAGGCGACGAUCAGUAGCCGACCUGAGAGGGUGAUC
Molecule: ribosomal RNA, 266 nt
Filed under: uncultured bacterium
Lineage: Bacteria
Description: partial 16S ribosomal RNA
Rfam family: Bacterial small subunit ribosomal RNA
Source: RNAcentral